RNAcentral lists this ribosomal RNA (440 nucleotides) under uncultured bacterium. Its description in RNAcentral is "partial 16S ribosomal RNA". It matches the Rfam family "Bacterial small subunit ribosomal RNA", at positions 338 to 795 of the family's 1533-position model. The record is from RNAcentral.
CCUACGGGUGGCAGCAGUAGGGAAUAUUGCUCAAUGGGGGAAACCCUCAAGCAGCAACGCCGCGUGGAGGAUGAAGGUUUUCGGAUUGGAAACUUCUUUUGUUAGAGAAGAUAAUGACGGUAUCUAACGAAUAAGCACUGGCCAACUCCGUGCAAGAAGCCGCGGGAAUAAGGAGGGUGCAAGAGUUACACGGAAUCACUGGGCGUAAAGAGCGUGUAGGCGGGAUAUCAAGUCAGAUGUGAAAUCCUAUGGCUUAACCAUAGAACUGCAUGUGAAACUGUUAUUCUUGAGUAUGGGAGAGGUAAGUGGAAUUCUUGGUGUAGGGGUAAAAUCCGUAGAGAUCACGAGGAAUACUCAUUGCGAAGGCGACCUGCUAGAACAUAACUGACGCUGAUGCGCGAAAGCGUGGGGAGCAAACAGGAUUAGAUACCCUUGUAGUC